CCUACGGGAGGCAGCAGUGGGGAAUAUUGGGCAAUGGGCGCAAGCCUGACCCAGCAACGCCGCGUGAAGGAAGAAGGCUUUCGGGUUGUACACUUCUUUUCUGAGGGACGAAGAAAGUGACGGUACCUCAGGAAUAAGCCACGGCUAACUACGUGCCAGCAGCAGAGGUACUACGUAGGUGGCUAACGUUAUCCGGAUGUAUUGGGUGUAAAGGGCGUGUGGGCGGGAAAGCAAGUCAGAUGUGAAAACUCAGGGCUCAACCCUGAGCCUGCAUUUGAAACUGUUUUUCUUGAGUGCUGGAGAGGCAAUCGGAAUUCCUUGUGUAGCGGUGAAAUGCGUAGAUAUACGGAGGAACACCAGUGGCGAAGGCGGAUUGCUGGACAGUAACUGACGCUGAGGCGCGAAAGCGUGGGGAGCAAACAGGAUUAGAUACCCUAGUAGUC
Molecule: ribosomal RNA, 443 nt
Filed under: uncultured bacterium
Lineage: Bacteria
Description: partial 16S ribosomal RNA
Rfam family: Bacterial small subunit ribosomal RNA
Source: RNAcentral